Patella vulgata (common limpet) is the source of this 1772-nucleotide long non-coding RNA. RefSeq lists it as uncharacterized. The transcript has 4 exons. The record is from RefSeq and is a predicted model, not a curated record. Lineage: Eukaryota; Metazoa; Mollusca; Gastropoda; Patellidae.
GGGUAUUCCAAUACAGUUGAAUUUAUUAAAUUUAUCCAAAAGUUAAGUUCGUUUUCCACGCAGCACGUUGUUCUAGGAAAUAGGAAACAACCUAACGAAAUAUCAGUAGCAAUGUCGUCUAGCACAGUACAGAGCGUAACAAAGCACUACACGUACAACGUGAACAGUAAACGGGUGCAGAUUGGGAACGACAAUGUGAUUAAUGUGAACGAUUACCGUAAAGCCGAGAUGCAAGACCGUAACACGAUUGAAGAGCAUAACCAAUUGAAGGUUGAUGUGGCCGAACUCCGUAAAACGAUAAGUAUCCUUGAGGAGAAGGUCGCUGAAAUAGAAAGAACUUACGGUGCAAAGAUUCAUGAAGUACCUACAAAAUGUAGAUGUUCCUGUUGUCCGCUGAAGAAUGCUAGACCAAUCUGUUGCCAUGACGUUCACCACAUGGUGUCAAGAAUGGGAGCAAACAAAUGCAUUACCAAAAUGCCCUUUUUUAGGCGCGAAUGUCUAAGUAUUCCCUAUCUGGAAAAAGUUUUUCACAAAUAUUCCGGCAAAGGAAGAUAUAUACGUUACCGGUCUACAGCAUAUAGGCAUUUCGUGAGGCGUAUGUAUGGCAUACGUGGAAGAGGACACAGUGUGGACCUCCCUGCAUGUGUUAUACAUGCUGUAACCUCGUCCGUUCAAAAUUAAAGAAAAAUGUUGGUGUCCGCCACUUAUACAUAUAAAAUAAAUCUGUCUAUUGCAGGUCUUUGUUUAGGCCUGAAAUGUUAUAUAAACUAUUAGUUAAGACAUUUAUUAACAACACAAGACAAUAAUCAACUCUUGAUGGCAUCAGAUACUAGAGAUUUUGACUAGAUUAGAACGGUUUGCCAUUUAAAAAUUUAAUUUAAAAAUGGGAAAGCGAGGCUGUCUCGAAUACACCAGUGCCUUGGUUACCAGAAUGGACACUUCUUGUCAAAACUACAAACAAUAACUUGGCUGAGAAUGUAGUAAUUUGAAAGAAAUGUUCAAUAUUUUCAUUUUACAUUAUCUAUUUUGAAGCUAUUAUAGCAAGAAUGGUCAGCUCUUUAUCUAAGUCUGACAUUAUGCAUCUUUAAAUAUAGAUUUGGAAUCUGUUUAACCAUUUCUAUCACAUAUGUAAAACUGGUGGACACGAACAUGUUUGCCCUUUAGAAAGUAGAAGCAAAUAUAAAUAUAUCUUAGUGUCAGGGCUAUUUUAUACGAGAUACACAUAGAAAAAAACACCUUUUCCUUCUUUAUCGUAUAGUAAGAAUUCGAUAUACUCGUCGCUAUUCUAUUCUUUUAUAAAUCAAAUAGUUAUUCGUCCAGAAAAUCACCCAUCGAUGGAUUUUAAUAUAUAGUUAAGCUGAUAUUUAAACAUUUGUUUGCAACAUGUAGUUGAAAGACAUACAACUAAGUCUUCCUAGUAUGAAAUAUUGUCCUUGACCUUUGGCAAACACCUCGUCCGACUCAAAUCAAUAAUUUCAAAAGAAAUUUACAAAGUGUGCAUAGAUUGUCGUCCGUUUUCUAAAUCCUUAGGAAUUACCAUUCAGUGUAUAGUCAUGGUGAAACCCUAUUACUAUAUCCGUUUAACCAUAGUAAACAUUGUCAUUCAUCUUCUCAACCCCUCUAUUUAAUUUCUUUACAGUCAUACAGUAUAUUUAUAUAAUUUUGUACCUUGUCAUUCAUUAAUCAAAUUGUAAUUUGAAAUACAAUGGUAAUUUUCAGUUCAUUCACUGUGUUGUAUUAUAUGUGAAUUGAUUAAACUGUGUCAUGUGCAA